Molecule: ribosomal RNA, 325 nt
Filed under: uncultured eukaryote
Lineage: Eukaryota
Description: partial 18S ribosomal RNA
Rfam family: Eukaryotic small subunit ribosomal RNA
Source: RNAcentral
CCCUUAGAUGUCCUGGGCCGCACGCGCGCUACACUGAUGCAUUCAACGAGCAUUUCCUUGGCCGAGAGGCCUGGGCAAUCUUUUAAACCUGCAUCGUGAUAGGGAUAGAUUAUUGCAAUUGUUAAUCUUGAACGAGGAAUUCCUAGUAAACGCAAAUCAUCAAUUUGCAUUGAUUACGUCCCUGCCCUUUGUACACACCGCCCGUCGCACCUACCGAUUGAAUGGUCCGGUGAAAUCUCGGGAUUGUGGCCAGUUCACUUUAUUGGGAGUUGGCUGCGAGAACUUGCUUAAACCUUAUCAUUUAGAGGAAGGUGAAGUCGUAACA